CAAAUCCCUAAAAGCCAUCCCAGUUCGGAUCGCAGGCUGCAACCCGCCUGCGUGAAGUUGGAAUCGCUAGUAAUCGCGGAUCAGCAUGCCGCGGUGAAUACGUUCCCGGGCCUUGUACACACCGCCCGUCACACCAUGAGAGUCGGGAACACCCGAAGUCCGUAGCCUAACUGCAAGGGGGACGCGGCCGAAGGUGGGUUCGAUAAUUGGGGUGAAGUCGUAACAAGGUACC
This 232-nucleotide ribosomal RNA is filed under the name uncultured bacterium. RNAcentral's name for it is "partial 16S ribosomal RNA". It matches the Rfam family "Bacterial small subunit ribosomal RNA", at positions 1268 to 1500 of the family's 1533-position model. The record is from RNAcentral.